This 311-nucleotide ribosomal RNA is filed under the name uncultured eukaryote. Its description in RNAcentral is "partial 18S ribosomal RNA". It matches the Rfam family "Eukaryotic small subunit ribosomal RNA", at positions 1470 to 1796 of the family's 1831-position model. The record is from RNAcentral.
CCCCUAGACGUUCUGGGCUGCACGCGCGCUACAAUAAUACGCACAGCGAGUAUCACCGAGCUCGAAAGGGCAAGGUAAACAAUAGAAAAGGUACUGUAAUGGUUAUAGAUCCUUGUAAUUAUUGAUCUUCAACGAGGAAUUCCUAGUAAGUAUGUGUCAUCAUCACGCACUGAUUACGUCCCUGCCCUUUGUACACACCGCCCGUCGCUCCUACCGAUUGGGUGAGCCGAUAAAACUCUCGGAUGUAGGCUAUUCAUAGCCCGCAGAAGAGAUUUGAAUCGUAGCGCUUAGAGGAAGGAGAAGUCGUAACA